CGUCGGCGAGUUCACGGGGGCGGUGCGGUUCCCACUAUUUCGGGCGGCAGCGCGGGUGGUGGCGGCGGCGCCCGGUGCUCGGCCGCAGUGCGGUGGCGGCUCGUGUGGGGGUGUGUGCGCGCGCGCUGCGGGAGUCGGCCUGCGGACCUACCUGGUCCUGGAUGCACUGUUGAGGUUCUCUGACACGUGACCUACGGACCUACCUGAACACGCGGUUCCAGAAGGGCUCUGUGGACCAUGAGCUGCAGAACACCAUCAGGGACAAUCUGUAUCUUCGCACCGUGCCUGUCACUACGCGGGCCCCGAGGCCAAACGAGGUUCCCGGCGUGGACUACACGUUCCUCACGCUAGCCGAGUUCAAGGACUUGGAGCGGUCCGGAAAUCUACUGGAGAGUGGUGUUUACGAAGGUGAGACGGCAGUGUCGUCCGGGUCAUGUCACAGGUCAUGAAGGUGAGACGGCGGCGUCGGCUGGGUCAUGUCACAGGCCAAGAAGUCGAUACAGCAGUGUCGUCCGGGUCAUGUCACAGGUCGUGGAGGUGAGACGGCGGCGUCGGCCGGGUCUGUCACAGAUCAUAAAGGCGGGUGAGACGGCAGCAUCAGGUCGUGGCCCGGUCACAACUCGUGCCAAACUCCGGACCCGUGUGCGGUCGUGCGCGGCGCGCUGCUCAGUGAACCUCUCGCGAGUCUUGUGGACCCAGGGCCCGCACACGAGCGAGUCCGCCUCGGCCGCGUCUCGGCUGAACCCC
Long non-coding RNA from Pollicipes pollicipes, 747 nucleotides. RefSeq lists it as uncharacterized. The record is from RefSeq and is a predicted model, not a curated record. Lineage: Eukaryota; Metazoa; Arthropoda; Thecostraca; Pollicipedomorpha; Pollicipedidae. The transcript is spliced from 3 exons.